GGACGUGAGGAUGAUCUGGUUAGGCUGCAACCCCACUGAGUGCCAGGGUUGAUUCAGCCGAUCUGGCUGCCUAGGCAGGGGUCCCCUCCCUCCCUCACUGCUCCACGUGUGUCCCUCCUGAAGCUGUGUGCUUGGUGGAAGAAGAUGGCCACCCUCAGUAGAGGAGGACCAUUUCUUCAGUCAAGGGGACAGCUACGCUCCCCUCCUGGAACCUCCAAACAAGCUCUCAAAAGGUAUGGAUUGUGAUGGUUGGUUUAAAUGGCAACUCUGGGUAAAGCUUCAACCAGUUUGGACGUUGCUCUGAAGACCAUGUU
Molecule: small nuclear RNA, 314 nt
Filed under: Heterocephalus glaber (naked mole-rat)
Lineage: Eukaryota; Metazoa; Chordata; Mammalia; Rodentia; Bathyergidae
Description: 7SK RNA
Rfam family: 7SK RNA
About the family: 7SK was discovered as an abundant small nuclear RNA in the mid-70s but a possible function has only recently been suggested.
Source: Rfam by way of RNAcentral